RNAcentral lists this ribosomal RNA (320 nucleotides) under uncultured eukaryote. RNAcentral describes it as "partial 18S ribosomal RNA". It matches the Rfam family "Eukaryotic small subunit ribosomal RNA", at positions 1470 to 1796 of the family's 1831-position model. The record is from RNAcentral.
CCCUUAGAUGUUCUGGGCCGCACGCGCGCUACACUGAUUCAUGCAACAAGUUUUGUCCUUGGCUGAUAGGCCUGGGUAAUCUUUGAACGUGAAUCGUGAUGGGGAUAGAUGAUUGCAAUUAUUCAUCUUCAACGAGGAAUUCCUAGUAAACGCAAGUCAUCAGCUUGCAUUGAUUACGUCCCUGCCCUUUGUACACACCGCCCGUCGCACCUACCGAUUGAAUGGUCCGGUGAAAUCUCGGGACGGCGGCUUGGUCGCUUGCGUCCGACUGCUGAAACUUGAUUAAACCAUAUCAUUUAGAGGAAGGUGAANUCGUAACA